GGAGUCUAGCGUGUGCGCGAGUCACUGGGCAAUUGUUUAAACCCAAAGGCGAAAUGAAAGUGAAGACGUUGCUCCUUCGCGGGAGCUCGUCUAGGGAGGAUGGGCGAGACUUGCUCUCGCCUCGCACUCCCGGGGCGUCCGUUUCUCAUUGCGAGAAGGGGCGCACCUAGAGCGUACACGCUGGGACCCGAAAGAUGGUGAACUAUGCCUGGUCAGGACGAAGUCAGGGGAAACCCUGAUGGAGGUCCGUAGCGAUUCUGACGUGCAAAUCGAUCGUCGGAACUGGGUAUAGGGGCGAAAGACUAAUCGAACCAUCUAGUAGCUGGUUCCCUCCGAAGUUUCCCUCAGGAUAGCUGGCGCUCGGAGGUGUGAGUUUCAUCCGGUAAAGCGAAUGAUUAGAGGCAUUGGGGACGAAACGUCCUCAACCUAUUCUCAAACUUUAAAUGGGUGAGAUCUCCGGCUUUAUUCUUAAACUUGAAGCCGCGAGAAUCUAAACUUUAUAUGAAUCUAGAGUGCCAAGUGGGCCAUUUUUGGUAAGCAGAACUGGCGUUGUGGGAUGAACCAAACGCAGAGUUAAAGCGCCUAAAUAGACGCUUAUGAGAUACCAUGAAAGGCGUUGGUAACUUAAGACAGCAGGACGGUGGCCAUGGAA
RNAcentral lists this ribosomal RNA (652 nucleotides) under Malthinus sp. UPOL 001313. RNAcentral describes it as "eukaryotic LSU rRNA". It matches the Rfam family "Eukaryotic large subunit ribosomal RNA", at positions 670 to 1259 of the family's 3401-position model. Lineage: Eukaryota; Metazoa; Arthropoda; Insecta; Coleoptera; Cantharidae. The record is from RNAcentral.